GCAGUGGUGGUUCAGUGGUAGAAUUUUUGCUUUUCAUGCAGGAGAUCUAGGUUUGGUUCCCGGCCAGUACA
Molecule: transfer RNA, 71 nt
Filed under: Loxodonta africana (African savanna elephant)
Lineage: Eukaryota; Metazoa; Chordata; Mammalia; Proboscidea; Elephantidae
Rfam family: tRNA
About the family: Transfer RNA (tRNA) molecules are approximately 80 nucleotides in length. Their secondary structure includes four short double-helical elements and three loops (D, anti-codon, and T loops).
Source: Rfam by way of RNAcentral